GUAAAUAUAGUUUAACCNAAAACAUUAGAUUGUGAGUCUAACCAUAGAGGCCUACCACCUCUUAUUUACC
RNAcentral lists this transfer RNA (70 nucleotides) under Macaca maura (moor macaque). RNAcentral describes it as "tRNA-His". It matches the Rfam family "tRNA". Rfam says of the family: Transfer RNA (tRNA) molecules are approximately 80 nucleotides in length. Their secondary structure includes four short double-helical elements and three loops (D, anti-codon, and T loops). Further hydrogen bonds mediate the characteristic L-shaped molecular structure. tRNAs have two regions of fundamental functional importance: the anti-codon, which is responsible for specific mRNA codon recognition, and the 3' end, to which the tRNAs corresponding amino acid is attached (by aminoacyl-tRNA synthetases). tRNAs cope with the degeneracy of the genetic code in two manners: having more than one tRNA (with a specific anti-codon) for a particular amino acid; and 'wobble' base-pairing, i.e. permitting non-standard base-pairing at the 3rd anti-codon position. The record is from RNAcentral. Lineage: Eukaryota; Metazoa; Chordata; Mammalia; Primates; Cercopithecidae.